Molecule: ribosomal RNA, 479 nt
Filed under: uncultured bacterium
Lineage: Bacteria
Description: SSU rRNA
Rfam family: Bacterial small subunit ribosomal RNA
Source: RNAcentral
AGGACGAACGCUGGCGGCGUGCUUAACACAUGCAAGUCGAGCGAGGCCUUCCCUUCGGGGGAGUGCCCUAGCGGCGAACGGGUGAGUAACACGUGGGCAACCUGCCCCUAGCACUGGGAUAACUCCGGGAAACCGGGGCUAAUACCGGAUAUGACCUUUGAGGGCAUCCUCUUUGGUGUAAAGGAUUCUGGCUAGGGAUGGGCCCGCGGCCUAUCAGCUUGUUGGUGGGGUAAUGGCCUACCAAGGCGACGACGGGUAGCCGGCCUGAGAGGGCGACCGGCCACACUGGGACUGAGACACGGCCCAGACUCCUACGGGAGGCAGCAGUGGGGAAUAUUGCACAAUGGGCGAAAGCCUGAUGCAGCGACGCCGCGUGAGGGAUGGACGGCCUUCGGGUUGUAAACCUCUUUCAGUACCGACGAAGCGAAAGUGACGGUAGGUACAGAAGAAGCACCGGCCAACUACGUGCCAGCAGCCGC